GUGAGGAAUUUUGGACAAUGGGGGAAACCCUGAUCCAGCGACGCCGCGUGAAGGAUGAAGGUCUUCGGAUUGUAAACUUCUUUUGCUUGGGAAUAACCGCCCCGUAGAAAUACGGGGAAUGAAUGUACCAGGCGAAUAAGCCACGGCUAACUUCGUGCCAGCAGCCGCGGUAAUACGAAGGUGGCAAGCGUUACUCGGAAUUACUAGGCGUAAAGGGCAGGUAGGCGGUUUGGUGAGUCUGUUGUGAAAGCUCCUUGCUUAACGGGGAGAGGCCAACAGAUACUGCCAGGCUUGAGUGUAGGAGAGGGUACUGGAAUUCCCGGUGUAGCGGUGAAAUGCGCAGAGAUCGGGAGGAACACCAAUGGCGAAAGCAGGUACCUGGACUAUUACUGACGCUCAGCUGCGAAAGCUAGGGGAGCAAACAGGAUUAGAAACCCUGGUAGUCC
This 446-nucleotide ribosomal RNA is filed under the name uncultured bacterium. Its description in RNAcentral is "bacterial SSU rRNA". It matches the Rfam family "Bacterial small subunit ribosomal RNA", at positions 354 to 796 of the family's 1533-position model. The record is from RNAcentral.